AUACUCCCGAGAGACCGAUAGCGAACCAGUACUGUGAAGGAAAGGUGAAAAGCACUUCGAAUAGAAGAGUGAAAUAGUCCCUGAAACCGUGCGCCUACAAGCGGUCGGAGCAGCGUAAGUUGUGACGGCGUGCCUUUUGCAUAAUGAACCUACGAGUUACUUUUUCCGGCAAGGUUAAGCGUCUCAAGACGUGCAGCCGAAGCGAAAGCGAGUCUGAACAGGGCGUUAUAGUCGGAAGGAGUAGACGCGAAACCAAGUGAUCUACCCUUGGGCAGGUUGAAGGUUAGGUAACACUAACUGGAGGACCGAACCGAUAAGCGUUGAAAAGCUUCCGGAUGACCUGAGGGUGGGGGUGAAAGGCUAAUCAAACUUGGAGAUAGCUCGUACUCCCCGAAAUGCAUUUAGGUGCAGCCUUGCGGGUUACUGAUGUGAGGUAGAGCGACUGAUAAGAUGCGAGGGCUUCACCGCCUAUCAAGUCUUGACAAACUCCGAAUGCGUGUCAGUUCUAUGUCAGGAGUGAGGGCAUGGGUGCUAAGGUCCAUGUCCUAAAGGAGAACAAUCCGGACCAACAGCUAAGGUCCCGAAAUGAAUACUAAGUUGAACUAACGAAGUCAGAUUGCUAAGACAGCUAGGAUGUUGGCUUGGAAGCAGCCAUUCAUUUAAAGAGUGCGUAACAGCUCACUAGUCGAGGAGUUUGGCGUGGAUAAUAAUCGGGCAUUAAGUGUUUUACCGAAGCUAUGGGAUCAGUAAUGAUCGGUAGGGGAGCAUUCCACUCUGCGUCGAAGGUGAAGCGUGAGCUUUGCUGGAGCGUGUGGAAAAGCAAAUGUAGGUAUAAGUAACGAUAAAGGGGGUGAGAAACCCCCUCGCCGAAAGACUAAGGUUUCCUGAUCAACGCUAAUCGGAUCAGGGUUAGUCGGGUCCUAAGGCUCAGCCGAACGGUGAUGCCGAUGGCAGAACAGGUUAAUAUUCCUGUACUACCUUUAGGAGUGACGUGGAGACGGAGGCGUGACAGCGCCGCGAACUGACGGAAUAGUUCGUUGAAGGGUGUAGAUGUUGAUUGCGGCAGGCAAAUCCACCGCAAGAGUCGAACCUGAUAGUAUGGAGCGUUCUUCUGAACAAUCCAAUAGUGCGUGUAAACAUACUCCCAAGAAAAUCCGCUAAACUUAAUCUUAAAGGUACCCGUACCGUAAACGGACACACGUAGUCGGGUUGAAUAUACUAAGGCGCUUGAGUGAAUCACGGUUAAGGAACUAGGCAAAUUGACCCUGUAACUUCGGGAUAAAGGGUCCCCGUCAGUGAUGGCGGGGCGCAGAGAAUAGGUCCAGGCAACUGUUUAACAAAAACACAGGGCUGUGCAAAAUUGAAAGAUCACGUAUACAGCCUGACACCUGCCCGGUGCUGGAAGGUUAAGAGGAGAUGUCAUCGCAAGAGAAGCAUUGAAUUGAAGCCCCAGUAAACGGCGGCCGUAACUAUAACGGUCCUAAGGUAGCGAAAUUCCUUGUCGGGUAAGUUCCGACCUGCACGAAUGGUGUAAUGAUCUGGACGCUGUCUCAACCGUGAGCUCAGUGAAAUUGUAGUAUCGGUGAAGAUGCCGAUUACCCGCGAUGGGACGAAAAGACCCCGUGAACCUUUACUAUAGCUUAACAUUGAAUUUGGGUAAUUGAUGUGUAGGAUAGGCCGGAGACUUUGAAGCAGGUACGCCAGUAUUUGUGGAGUCGCUGUUGAAAUACGGCCCUUUGAUUAUUUGAGUUCUAACUCGUUGUUACGAGGACACUGUUUGGUGGGUAGUUUGACUGGGGUGGUCGCCUCCAAAAGUGUAACGGAGGCUUCUAAAGGUGCCCUCAGGACGAUUGGUAACCGUCCGUAGAGUGUAAUGGCAUAAGGGCGCUUGACUGGGAGACAGACAAGUCGAUCAGGUAGGAAACUAGAGCAUAGUGAUCC
This 1941-nucleotide ribosomal RNA is filed under the name human gut metagenome. RNAcentral's name for it is "bacterial LSU rRNA". It matches the Rfam family "Bacterial large subunit ribosomal RNA", at positions 470 to 2421 of the family's 2925-position model. The record is from RNAcentral.